Non-coding RNA from Camellia sinensis, 847 nucleotides. The record is from RefSeq and is a predicted model, not a curated record. NCBI's taxonomy places the organism in Eukaryota, Viridiplantae, Streptophyta, Magnoliopsida, Ericales, Theaceae.
UUUCUUGUGCAGUGCAUAUUUGAGUUUUUGAGCCAAAGAUGUCUUCGGAUUAUAGCGAACCUAUUACUGUUGAUGAUGCCGAGUUGGAUGACGAUGUAUCUCAAGGACCCACAAAGAGGAUUCGAAAACUAACUUCAAAGAGGUGGAGCAAUAGUUGGAGGAGUUGGUGUUUCCAAGUAAUGAGAGCUUCAAUAUUCUACAUUGGUGGAAAGUGAAUAAAGCAAAAUUUCCUACUUUGGCAAGGAUGGCUCGUGAUGUUUUAAGUGUUCCAGCCACUACGGUUGCAUCAGAGGCGGCGUUUAGUGUAGGAGGUAGGGUGAUUGAUGAGACACGUGCUUCAUUACUUCUAGAUAUUGUGGAGGCCUUGGUCACUUGCAAUGAUUGGAUUGAAUCAACCAAAAAUAGUAAUGUAGAAGAAUGCUGACGUGAGUAGAUGGAUUGAACUUUUGUUUCUAUAAAUAUCUUAAUGUGUUCUGAGAAGUUAUCUUAAGCUGCAGCCUUGUCACUGUCACAUUUAGGUCAGUAUAUUUCUCAUCUCUGCCUUUUACAAUUUGGGUUUUGUCAUUAUGGUACAUGCACUUUGGAAAUGGUAUAAAGGGGAUAAGUUCACUUGAUUUUGUUUCCUUUUCUCUUACAUCUACAGAAAGUGAAGAAAUUCACUUUGGCAGAACAGAGCAAAGGGCAAGCAGAUUCUAAGAGCAAGAAGGAUGGUUAGAUCUUGAAUGGGUUGGAUACUUGGAGAUAAGAUGAAAAUCUUGGUUCUUUCAUUUUUCUUCUAAUUUAGAUACCAACAACCACUGAGAUUAUACUUCUCAAAUUGUUUGUUCUGUAACUCAAUCUGAAUAUC